CUGGGCAGUCUCGGUGAGAGCCCGGGAGUGGACAGUCUUGUAGCACUCCUCUGUGAUCAUCCAGGGAGCAGCUAGCCGGCGCCCCUUCGCUCCAAGUGACCGCAGCGUGAGAGAGCUACAGUGGGAUCCAUUAGAACACCUUCCUCCUCCUCCCCCUCCAGAUCCUAUAGACUGUCUUCCAUAGCCUCCUCCUCUAACUCCUCCCACAAAUGGUCUACCUCUUCCUCCUCCAGAACUGUACCCCAAAAUACUGAUACUAGAUGAGGGCGUAAGACAAACUACAACAUCAGUUCCCAUAUGGGUGACAAGAUCGCCUCAACCCUUGGAUGCAAGUUAUCAUGUCACUGUUAUGCCUUCCUCUGUGUCAUCUCCCCUCCCACUAAUAUCCGAAUCUAUGCACUCAAGUUCUCCUUCAGUUUUACAAAGUGCCUCUAGUUCUACGAGUACCGUAACACCAGCCACCAGCACUGCUCAAAGUAUCCCUACCCCAAUUAUGGCUCCUAAAACUUUUCAAUAUCUCCCUCUUUAUUUUUCCCCCAUAUUUCAACCCAUACCUCCAAAUACCUCUUCCCCUGUUUUUGGACCCGGAACAAUAGAAAAUAUUCCCUUUUAUGUAUCCCAUAUACCCCAAUAUCCUAAAAAUCAGAUACAGGAGGAACAUUUAACAACAAGGGGCCGAGAAGAUAAGACAGUUUGCUGCUGCAAAAAUAAGGAGGAAAAUAAAUUAAAAUCUGAAGAUCCAAGAAAAAGAUAGAGCAUUCUCCCACGCAUCUAGCAAUCUGGCCCUAAAAAGGACAGAAGAAACGAGUUGAUGCAAAAGAGAAAGUAAACUCCUGUAACAGUAACUGGUAAGAAUAACAUGUUGAUAAAUAAGAGAGGAAAAAGAAGGAGGCAAGACCGGAUCAAGUUACACUCUUGCCACAAAAACUCGCUGAUUCUCUACAGAGAGGAGACAUGAUUGGGAGAGUGGCCUGUACCAGACCCUCAUUCAUAUAUAUCCUCCUACUUAUGAUCAUCGAUAAAGGAGAGAUGAUACUGUGUGAAAAGUGUUAUUACCCAUUAUAUGCAGGAGAAUCUCGGACUGCUGUCCUCAGAACACACUCUAACCCGAGUCCUAAUUGUGUCAACUUUUUGCCAGUAACAACUUGUAUGGAAAAUGGUAAAACAUAUUGGCUAUUCGAAAAUAUAGGAAAUUUUAAACAGAAAUUGUUGGGAAAAUGCCCUAUGAAGGAGAAGUGGAUCUGUUCUGAAAGAAAACCUAUUGAAGGACAAGUAAAACAUGAGACUUAUGAAACAGAUUUCAUAAAAGAAAAAGAGAUAAAGGGAAUAAUUAAAAAGGGACCAAAAAUCCCAACCCUGGGAGGGAAAAACCUGUUCCUUGAUUUAGCACAGAAAAUGAGUAAUGAAUUUAACAUCUCUAAUUGUUGGAUUUGUGGGGACCCUUGUAUGGCUGAAAUCUGGCCAUGGGAGGGCAUUCCUAUGAGUCGACAGGAUAUACUCAGGAUUUUAGAUAAAGAAGGAUCCAAACGGGACAACAGACCUGAGGAAGAAGUAUGGAACCUGAGGUCCGAUUCCAGUGAGGAAUGUCUUUGGAGAACAUUCAGAAUAUAUCAUGUAUUUGGGUGAGAUCCAUUGCAAAAAUUAUUUAGUUUUAAAUAACACACAUCAGUAGUGGAUCCCUAGGUGUCCACAUUUAUAUUGGUCGAGGUCCAGAAGAUCACAGUGCUCAUAUAUAGAGAGAGAAAAAUUGUAUGAGUGUCCCACAUGAGAGCCCAAUCCAUUCCAGGAUAAACCCCAAACUGCGAAAUUUUGGAAUAAAACCAACUAUAAAUUAGAAAGCCAACCUCAAUUUUGGAGAGCCCCAAAAAGUAUAUAUUGGCUGUGCGGAAAAAUGGCAUAUGUAGUUCUGCCGAGAGGAUGGACUGGGAGUUGUACCUUAGGCAUAAUAAGACUAUCUUUUUUCCUCCUCCCCAGGAUAGAACGGUACCAUUUGGGAGUGCCGCUUUAUGAUGAGUUGGUUCGGAGAAAGACAGACAUAUCUAUAGGGGGCACUCAACAAUGGGGAGAGGAGGAGUGGCCACCAGAAUGUAUUAUUGCCACUUAUGGUCCAGCCACUUGGGCCCAAGGGUCGUCACGAGAACUGUAAUCAACUCCCUCAAGCUCAGCCUUAAAACUGGAGGAAAGGAUAGAAACGCUAAGGACAUUUUAUUACUACAAGAGCAAGAAGUUGAAGCAAACCAAGAGAUAAAGACUGCUGAAUCAGCUAUAGAAAUGUACAAGAGAUACCAAAAAUUAAGACAAUUAUAUACAGUUGAAGAAGAAACUGUUUAAAGAUGGUUUAAAGGACUGAAGAAGAAAACUGUUAAAAGACUGUUUGAAAACUAAAGACUGAAUGUGUUGAUGCGGGCUAAAGCCCAAUCAAAGUUUUAGAGGGGGGAGUUGUCAUGAGUUUGGUCCUAUUAGUUCUGGGGAGAAUGGGGAGUUACUUGUUGUAAAGGGAAAGGGCGUCCAGGACUUGGUGAAGACACGAGAUGAAAGAGGUGAGGAGUGAUUGGGCUAGGGCACCAACCAAUCAUUCGAUGCCCUGAAGGAAUGAUUGGCCCAGAAUGAACCUCACUAAAGACCAAUCAGAGCACCUAGAUUCCACCAGUCAGUGCGCGGAUCCAAACCCCACCAAUCCUGGACCAAAGGGAGUUAUAAAAAGGGGGCUUUUCAGUCAGGCGGGGUUCUUCUUUCUGUUUUGUGAAUGGUGGGAUAGCUUCACAAGGAAGAGAACCCAACGUGUUUGUAGCACGUUGCUAUUUUUGAGCUGUUGUGAGGAGGUUUAAGCUUAUCUUGGAUCCUCCAUUCCUUUCAUCUUGUUUUUAAAUAAACGAGAGCCUUUUUCAA
Molecule: long non-coding RNA, 2889 nt
Organism: Passer domesticus (house sparrow)
Lineage: Eukaryota; Metazoa; Chordata; Aves; Passeriformes; Passeridae
Exons: 3
Source: RefSeq, a predicted model, not a curated record